GUGAGCUAGCCCCACUUCUUAGUGUUCCUUAUUUUGUAGAGCCUUAGAAUGGCUUAAGGGAAAAAAAUUAAACCUCAUUAGCUUUGGAAUCAAAUUAAGAAAACGAAGCUGCGAAAGACUUAUUUUUGCCUGACGAUCUCUUUAAGGAUUAACAAGAAGAACAAUUGUUUGAUCUGUUGCUUGGGUCAUUAUUGUGUGAGGAGUUUGAGGAUACAUAAUUGCCGUGAGCAGAGAACUAGAAAGCUUGAAAAUUUUCUUGCGCAAUUCAACCAACAAUCAGAUCAUGAGUUGUUGAACUCCCGGGAAGUUUGAAAGGACGAGUUGAAGCUAAGAGUUGAGGUUUACUCUCCUAAAAGGGAGUUUCAUUAGAACCCCUAUGCUCCAUAUAUGAGAUAAAGCUAAGCCAUGUCUUCGCAUGAUCUAAUACUCAGUUCACUUUGUUCUUAUUCAGUAUGAAUUUAUAUGUGACAUGAAUACAUGCUUAUGUGUAUUACCAGUUGUUAUAUGCCUUUAUUUGCGAUAUUCACAUUCAGUUAAGUAUUCAGUUUCAACAUUAAUUCAUGCAUCAAUGUGAUCACAUUCAGUAGGGAGAAGUGGCAACCUCCCCCAACGUGAGUGCCAUGAUGUCAGGGUUACCUACCCCACGCUCGCAGGUGCCAAUUGUUUGUUGGGGAGAUAGGCCGACGCUCCCCCGUACGAUUUUCCAGAUGCUCACGUAUGCAGGGCCAUUAUGCGUAACAAUUUUUAGCAAAGUUGUGUCUUAAUAUAUAUAUAACUCAGUUUCUAUUUCAGAUAUCAAUUAUGGACUCAA
Molecule: long non-coding RNA, 811 nt
Organism: Nicotiana attenuata
Lineage: Eukaryota; Viridiplantae; Streptophyta; Magnoliopsida; Solanales; Solanaceae
Exons: 2
Source: RefSeq, a predicted model, not a curated record